RNAcentral lists this transfer RNA (454 nucleotides) under uncultured Flavobacteriaceae bacterium. Its description in RNAcentral is "16S-23S ribosomal RNA intergenic spacer". The stretch from base 73 to 146 matches the Rfam family "tRNA". The record is from RNAcentral. Lineage: Bacteria; Pseudomonadati; Bacteroidota; Flavobacteriia; Flavobacteriales; Flavobacteriaceae.
GGAGCAACCUUGUCUUGAAAGUUCACCAAGUCGAGAUGUGCUCUGCACGGUCUACUGUCAAAUCCCAUAUAUAGUCUCAUAGCUCAGCUGGUUAGAGCGCUACACUGAUAAUGUAGAGGUCGGCAGUUCGAGUCUGCCUGAGACUACUGAGAUACUAAUUAAAUUAAUUAGUAUGAAGUUCAUAUAAAAUUAUUGAAGGAAAUUCUAGGAGCAGAGAAUUCUACUCAUUUAUAAUUCUGAAUUCUACAAUUCUGGAUUUCAAAAAAUGGGGGAUUAGCUCAGCUGGCUAGAGCGCCUGCCUUGCACGCAGGAGGUCAUCGGUUCGACUCCGAUAUUCUCCACAAUUACGUUUUUAGCGUAAAAAAGUUCAUUGACAUAUUGGGAAACACGAAAUAUUGACGAAGGAUAGUUUAUCUAUCCUGAGUAGAAAAGACAAAAGAGCAUAACGCGAGGC